CCUACGGGAGGCAGCAGUGGGGAAUAUUGCACAAUGGGCGCAAGCCUGAUGCAGCGACGCCGCGUGAGGGAUGACGGCCUUCGGGUUGUAAACCUCUUUCAGUAGGGAAGAAGCGAAAGUGACGGUACCUGCAGAAGAAGCGCCGGCUAACUACGUGCCAGCAGCCGCGGUAAUACGUAGGGCGCAAGCGUUAUCCGGAAUUAUUGGGCGUAAAGAGCUCGUAGGCGGUUUGUCGCGUCUGCCGUGAAAGUCCGGGGCUCAACUCCGGAUCUGCGGUGGGUACGGGCAGACUAGAGUGAUGUAGGGGAGACUGGAAUUCCUGGUGUAGCGGUGAAAUGCGCAGAUAUCAGGAGGAACACCGAUGGCGAAGGCAGGUCUCUGGGCAUUAACUGACGCUGAGGAGCGAAAGCAUGGGGAGCGAACAGGAUUAGAUACCCUGGUAGUCCAUGCCGUAAACGUUGGGCACUAGGUGUGGGGGACAUUCCACGUUUUCCGCGCCGUAGCUAACGCAUUAAGUGCCCCGCCUGGGGAGUACGGCCGCAAGGCAAAACUCAAAGANAGUGACGNGNGAGAGCGACGAGACGACGAGAGGAG
This 594-nucleotide ribosomal RNA is filed under the name uncultured bacterium. RNAcentral describes it as "bacterial SSU rRNA". It matches the Rfam family "Bacterial small subunit ribosomal RNA", at positions 338 to 944 of the family's 1533-position model. The record is from RNAcentral.